Molecule: long non-coding RNA, 1217 nt
Organism: Pan troglodytes (chimpanzee)
Lineage: Eukaryota; Metazoa; Chordata; Mammalia; Primates; Hominidae
Exons: 7
Source: RefSeq, a predicted model, not a curated record
GUGAAUGAUACUGUUUUCACGAGAGCAGGUUAGUUAUAAAAGUGAGUUGGGCUCCUCUUGCCCUCUCUCCUGUGUUCUCUGGCAUGUGGUACCUUUCACGAAACACCAGAUGGACUAAGACAACUACUUAAUCAUCACAACAAACUUAUUGAGGAACCCUAUUUUUACCAGCAUUUAUAAAAUGAGAAAACUCAAACACAGAGGGAUAUGCAACCGCCGAAAUUCACACGAUUCACCAUUGUGCUCUCCAGCUGGCUCUGAAGAAGCAAGCCACCACAUUGCUCACUGCUCAUGGAGAGGAACACACGUGGAGAAACUGUGCAUAGCCUCCAGGAGCUGAGUGUAGCUUCCAGGUGACAGUCAGGAAAAAUCUAGAGCUCUCAGUCCUACUACCGAGUCCACCCUCAAGAAACUGCUGUAUCACCAUACUCUUCUAAUACUCUAAGAAUUCUUCUUCAUAUGUAUCUGCUCCUAUUUUCUGCCUCGGUGGUUGUUCAGCAUUAAUUCAGGAGGAUUCAGAGAAAAACAGUAAAGUUGGUGUCCAGGGGCAUUUACUUCGAAACAAACUGGCCGGCUGUCUCCCAAAAGGUCUCGUAGGGUAAAAUGGAUCAUGCUGCAAUCAUAAAACUCCAGUCUGUAAUUCCAUGACAGAAUUCAUAUCUCCAAAAACUCAUGGACGGAAAAUGUUUUACUUGUCACAGCAUAGUAAAGAUAAUGAAAUCUAUGCAUUUUUUAGAACUACUUGAAGAAAUAUCUCAUUGAAUCAAUUCAAGAUUAUUAAAAUCUCUUAGGUGAUAUCAAAUGAUCCCAAGUGAGGGUCCUGGAAUAAUAAAAUAUAGCCCUGUGACUUAGAGGCCCAGAGGAGUGAAUUUCAGGAAGGAAAAUAUGGUCAACCAUAUCUAAUUCUGAAAAGUGGUCAAGUAAAGGCCAGUUGGGUUAUCCUUCUUGUUUCAUUGUUUGUCCUGCUUAAAAUUGAGAAUGAACAGAGACUCAUUGAUUUCAUCUUCUGAAUUUGAAAAGAAUGACACACAUUGCCCUGCAAUUCAGGUCUGACUUCAGCUGCAGGAAGACAGACCCCCAACCCAGAACAACCCUGCGUGGGGAAUCCUUCCAGAAAAGGCUAAGCAAAAUACAACACUGGAAUUUGGGGAGGGGCUUGGAGAGUUUGUUUUUAAAAGUCUUGAGCAAUAAGUCAUCUAACCACAAGAGUAAGAAAA